Molecule: unclassified non-coding RNA, 349 nt
Filed under: Hevea brasiliensis (rubber tree)
Lineage: Eukaryota; Viridiplantae; Streptophyta; Magnoliopsida; Malpighiales; Euphorbiaceae
Source: RNAcentral
GGAAUGUUUAAAGCAGUGGGUUCCGCGUGAAAGUGAUGCCCCAAUUUCUCAUGCCACAUACUCAUGUGAUAGCCAGCUUAUAUAUGCUAGUUUCUUGGAUGCAACUGUGUGCAUCUUCACUGCUGGGAACCUCCAUAUGCAGUGCUGCAUUUAUCCUUCUGCUUAUCUGUCACCCGGUAUCAGCAAUUUAAAUAUCCACCCAGUUGUAGUUGCAGCACAUCCAGAAGAUCCAAACCAAUUUGCAUUAGGUAUGUCAGAUGGUGGUGUUCAUGUUUUUGAACCUCUUGAAUCUGAAGGCAAAUGGGGUGUCCCUCCACCAGUUGAAAAUGGCUUUGCAAAAGGUGGGCCA